Molecule: ribosomal RNA, 393 nt
Filed under: uncultured bacterium
Lineage: Bacteria
Description: partial 16S ribosomal RNA
Rfam family: Bacterial small subunit ribosomal RNA
Source: RNAcentral
AUACGGAGGAUGCAAGCGUUAUCCGGAUUUAUUGGGUUUAAAGGGUGCGUAGGCGGUUUGCUAAGCGGGAGGUGAAAUGCCGGCGCUCAACGUCGGAAGUGCCUCCCGAACUGGUGGACUGGAAUGACUCUGCCGUGGGAGGCAUGUGUAGUGUAGCGGUGAAAUGCUUAGAGAUUACACAGAACACCGAUUGCGAAGGCAUCUCACGAAGGGUUGAUUGACGCUGAGGCACUAAAGCGUGGGGAUCAAACAGGAUUAGAUACCCUGGUAGUCCACGCAGUAAACGAUGAUGGCUAACCGCUGGUUUUUUCGGAUCAGUGGCCAAGCGAAAGCGAUAAGCCAUCCACCUGGGGAGUACGACCGCAAGGUUGAAACUCAAAGGAAUUGACGGGG